Molecule: small RNA, 125 nt
Filed under: Marmota monax (woodchuck)
Lineage: Eukaryota; Metazoa; Chordata; Mammalia; Rodentia; Sciuridae
Source: RNAcentral
GCUGGGAGCAGUGGUGCACACCUGUAAUCCCAGUGGCUCAGGAGGCUGAGGCAGGAGGAUCACGAGCUCAAAGCCAGCCUCAGCAACAGGAAGGCACCAAGCAACUCACUGAGACCCUGUCUCUA